AGUAACGCGUAGGUAAUCUACCCUUAUAUUUGGGAUAACAUUGGGAAACUGGUGCUAAUACCGAAUGGUCUUCAUUGCUUUGGGGCGAUGGAGUAAAGGUGGCCUCUUCAUGAAAGCUACCGUGUAGGGAUGAGCCUGCGUACCAUUAGCUAGUAGGUGGGGUAAUGGCCCACCUAGGCUACGAUGGUUAGCGGGUCUGAGAGGAUGAUCCGCCACACUGGAACUGGAACACGGACCAG
RNAcentral lists this ribosomal RNA (239 nucleotides) under uncultured bacterium. RNAcentral's name for it is "partial 16S ribosomal RNA". It matches the Rfam family "Bacterial small subunit ribosomal RNA", at positions 109 to 334 of the family's 1533-position model. The record is from RNAcentral.